AGAGUUUGAUCAUGGCUCAGGGGAACGCUGGCGGCGUGCUUAACACAUGCAAGUCGAGUGCGCGUUUCCGUAGCAAUACGGAAAUGGCGCACGGCGCACGGGUGCGUAACACGUGGGUAAUCUGCCCUCUGAUGGGGAAUAACUCGCCGAAAGGCGAGCUAAUUCCGCAUAACAUUCCUUGGACUCAGGUUCGAGGAUUCAAAGGCGUAAGUCGUCGGAGGUGGAGCCCGCGCACGAUUAGCUAGUUGGUGAGGUAAUGGCUCACCAAGGCUUUGAUCGUUAGCUGGUCUGAGAGGAUGGCCAGCCACACUGGAACUGAGACACGGUCCAGACUCCUACGGAAGGCAGCAGUGGGGAAUCUUGCACAAUGGGCGAAAGCCUGAUGCAGCGACGCCGCGUGGGGGAUGAAGCUUCUCGGAGUGUAAACCCCUUUCGACCGGGACGAAUGCCUCGCAAGAGGACUGACGGUACCGGUAUAAGAAGCCCCGGCUAACUACGUGCCAGCAGCCGCGGUAAGACGUAGGGGGCCAGCGUUGCUCGGAAUUGCUGGGUGUAAAGGGUUCGUAGGCGGUGUGGCAAGUCGGGAGUGAAAUCUCUGAGCUUAACUCAGGGCCUGCUUCCGAAACUGCUGUGCUAGAGUGUGGGAGAGGCGCGUGGAAUUGCAGGUGUAGCGGUGAAAUGCGUAGAUAUCUGCAGGAACACCCGUGGCGAAAGCGGCGCGCUGGACCACUACUGACGCUGAGGAACGAAAGCUAGGGGAGCAAACAGGAUUAGAUACCCUAGUAGUCC
RNAcentral lists this ribosomal RNA (789 nucleotides) under uncultured bacterium. Its description in RNAcentral is "bacterial SSU rRNA". It matches the Rfam family "Bacterial small subunit ribosomal RNA", at positions 8 to 796 of the family's 1533-position model. The record is from RNAcentral.